AAAAUAAAUGCGUUUUGUAUACAAGAUAAUGAAUUCAUAUGACGACCGCUUGAUGGUGGUUGCUAUCUGAAAUCUCAAAUUAGAAACUGUUAGAUAUAAAAAUAUUUAAACACCGUCUUCUAACAGCUUAAACUUUUAGAGUACAACGAUUGUUUCACAUGAUAUCAGAGCAAGAGGUCCUGAGUUCGAUUCACGUCAGACUCCUAGCAUAUUAAUUUCCUCCCAUUUAAUUCAAACCCACGUCAUGGGACGAUUAAAAAGUCUCGAGCCCAAACGUGAGGGAGAGUGUUAAAUAUAAAAAUGUUUAAACACCGUCUUCUAACGGUUUAAGCUUUUAGAGUACAACGGUUGUUUCACAGAAACUCAAUUAUUUUAUAUUUCUAAUUAAAUUUAUUUUUUUUAAAAAUAAACAAAACAGCUAACAAGUUAUCUUUCUCUUUUGGAAAAAAUAAAAUAAAAUAAAAUUUGGAUGGAAAAGUUU
This 481-nucleotide long non-coding RNA is filed under the name Ananas comosus (pineapple). Its description in RNAcentral is "long non-coding RNA (ACOM_LNC004216)". The record is from RNAcentral. Lineage: Eukaryota; Viridiplantae; Streptophyta; Magnoliopsida; Poales; Bromeliaceae.